This is a small nucleolar RNA of Apodemus sylvaticus (European woodmouse), 127 nucleotides long. RefSeq annotates it as small nucleolar RNA SNORA17. The transcript has a single exon. The record is from RefSeq and is a predicted model, not a curated record. Lineage: Eukaryota; Metazoa; Chordata; Mammalia; Rodentia; Muridae.
AUUUCCCCUAGAGGCAAGACAGAUGUGGCAUUAGUAGACACAUCUGUAGGUGGCAGAGAAGAGAGAAGCUAUGUUGGCCCUCACCAUUCUGACCUGCAAACAUCUGAAUGAUUAACAGCUCUAUAAA